RNAcentral lists this long non-coding RNA (1505 nucleotides) under Bos indicus x Bos taurus (hybrid cattle). RNAcentral's name for it is "lncRNA (ENSBIXG00005023783.1)". The record is from RNAcentral. Lineage: Eukaryota; Metazoa; Chordata; Mammalia; Artiodactyla; Bovidae.
AAAUGAACAAAAGCCCCAAACGGUUUUACUUAAGGGAUUUUGUAAGGUCGAAAGGAUUUAUUUAAGAACAGAAUAGUUUUCUUUUUAGUUGGCCCAUAUAUGAUUGACUUUUGGAUUGUAUAACUGUGAGGUAGGGAGAUUCAAGUACAAGAAAGAGGAACCAUUAGCUGAGUGGGGUGGAUUGAGCUGGAGCAGAGGCAAGGCCAGUUUGGGGAGAGAGGAAAAAGGAGACCAGGGGUGGCAGGCUUUGGGCUGAGGGAGAAGCAGAGGAAAAGAACACAUCAGAAGAAAGGGACCUAACAGACCAGGAAGAGCCAGAGUUGGAGAAAAAGCAAAUGGCUAAUGAGACACCCACGAGAAUGCAGCUUUCAGAGAAGAAACUCAGUCGAGAUUUGCACACCCUGGACGAGGAAGAGAAGCAGAGAUGUUAUUUGGAGCUGGAUGUUAUUCCUUGCUCAAAGGGGAAAAAAAAAUUCUGUUUCAUGAAUGGAUGCCACGCAAGCACCCUUGAUCUUCAAUGAACAGGAUGUCAUGUGAUUCUGCAAACUGUUUCAGAACCAUUCAUGCUUCCGUCUAGAAUGUUCCCAGAGAGGGAAAAAAAAAAAAACAGUGCAGGGUGGAGGUUCCUGAGAAAUCCCCGACUUAGCACAAGUUCAUUUUUGUGAUGGGUUUAGAAAUCCAGUUAAUCUUUAAGUCAUUUCCAAGGCAGAACUGUAAUUUUGUCUAUUAAAAAUAUAGAAAAACAAAACAAGACAAAACCACUCCCUCUGUCCCUCAAAAUGUGUUUAUAAACGGCAUCAUGUGAAAAUCCAACUUGGAAAGAAUUCGAGUUUGACUUUAAACUGUUUGUUCACAAGCUCAUGGUUCUUGGAUUCAUUAACUCUUAUUUAUAAACUUAAGGUUGUUUUGGAACAGGAAGCAUAACAUUUACUAAAAAGAACAUUGAAAUGUAUUUGUCUUUUUAAUUAAAAAAAUACUAAGAAAUGAAGUCUGCAGAACACAAAAUCUUAAUAUUGCAGUAGGAUUUUCCCUCAUUAAAAAAUAUAUAUCAAACCAUUGUCUGAUUGAAACUAAACACAGUUAAACAUAUAUAGAUAUAAAUUAUAUAAUUUACAUUUAUUAUCCUUAAUCCAGGUACACAUGCAAACACAUUUGUAUAUAUAAAUUAUGUAUGAAAUACUCAUAGCUAAAAUUUAUGUGGCUAUAUUUGAAACUGUGACAUCAGAGAUAGGCUUAAAACAUGUUUAAUUACAUUACCAGCGUGUAUAAUCAGAGUUAGAACUACUGAUAGAUUUUGCUGACAAGAAUUAUGGAAAGUAGCAGCUAAUUCAGGAUUGUUCUAUUACAGAUAUUACAGGGGAAGCAAGUCUGGGAAGUGCAUUUAGAUUCCCAUAUCACUCACUUUUUGUGGGAAUUUUGUUAUUAAAAGGAAGCAUCAUUCUGAGACAAUUUAGGCAAGUAAAUUAUAGAAUAAAAUAGUCAUCGUUUUGGAUAAAUUCUUGUGA